Molecule: ribosomal RNA, 253 nt
Filed under: uncultured bacterium
Lineage: Bacteria
Description: partial 16S ribosomal RNA
Rfam family: Bacterial small subunit ribosomal RNA
Source: RNAcentral
UACGGAGGGUGCAAGCGUUAAUCGGAAUUACUGGGCGUAAAGCGUGCGCAGGCGGUUUUGUAAGCCAGAUGUGAAAUCCCCGGGCCUAACCUGGGAAUGGCAUUUGGGACUGCAAGGCUUGAGUGCGGCAGAGGAGACUGGAAUUCCUGGUGUAGCAGUGAAAUGCGUAGAUAUCAGGAGGAACACCGAUGGCGAAGGCAGGUCUCUGGGCUGACACUGACGCUCAUGCACGAAAGCGUGGGGAGCAAACAGG